Molecule: long non-coding RNA, 734 nt
Organism: Salvelinus namaycush (lake trout)
Lineage: Eukaryota; Metazoa; Chordata; Actinopteri; Salmoniformes; Salmonidae
Exons: 6
Source: RefSeq, a predicted model, not a curated record
AUCAAAUCUCAGGAAGUAGUUUGAAGAGGAGAAGGGAAGUAAUUUCUACAAAGUAACUAGAAUAAAAUGAUCUACCUGAAGGUGGAGAGGGAGUAAGAUCACUAGAAAGCAGAAAGCUGCCAGACAACCACAGGACCCAAGAGACCUCUACAUGCUGUAACAUGGGCCUGGAUGGUGAGGCACAACUGCUUCCAACUGCCUUACUGAAUAUUGGGGCCUUCAGUGGUACCUGACAUUACAGCUUUUCUGAGAUAUAUAUUUUAGUUGGCACACCUUUGUGAUGUCUUAUAUACAUGAAUAAAAAUGUAUUCAACCCUGGACAUGAGGCUCCAGUUCGACAAUGCAUGCUUCCAGUUCGACAAUGCAUGCUUCCAGCAGGAUGCACAGACAACUAUGGUUUGCAUGCCCUACUGAAGGACCCUACCGUGCGGAAUAAGUGGUUGUAGUUCGUUGGUCCCCAAUGGUGAGACGAUCCAGUAUCUUUGAUGAGGGGCCAGGAGCUGAUCUACGCUGCUAUGCCCAUAAAUGUGGCUCUGGCAAAGACCUCACCUCUUGCCUGCUCACCAACGGUUGUCGAUGGGGAGAACAAAAUUAGAUACCUUUAUGGAGACAGCACUUGGGAGACUUCAAAAAUGAUAUGAUGGCGUCCAGACUGACAAGACAGGCUUGAUGCUGAUGUCUCUGAAUGGUUCAAGACCUUGUACUCAGCAAUAUAAUUAUACAGGACACAUCUA